This 282-nucleotide long non-coding RNA is filed under the name Vitis vinifera (wine grape). Its description in RNAcentral is "long non-coding RNA (VVIN_LNC001147)". Lineage: Eukaryota; Viridiplantae; Streptophyta; Magnoliopsida; Vitales; Vitaceae. The record is from RNAcentral.
AUUGUGGAGUUGCAGAUGAAACAGCUUGACUGUGAACUAAUAAUUCGUAAAAAGGAGGCCUUGCCCCAACCACCAUCAGCUGCUCCUGUUGUUAUGAUGCAUUCCCCUCCCCCAGCAGCAGUUGCACCAGUAGGCCCACCUGCAGCUGUUCCUGCACCUUCUGCCCCAGCUUCUUCAGCCCCAACAACAGUACCUUCUGCACCUGCUGCCAAGUCAACCAAUUCAUCGCACCCACGUCUUAAAAGCCCCAUGGCAGGCACAUUCUACCGAAGCCCAGGACCC